GCCCACUACAGAACUUCAUACGCUAUACUCACCACCGUCGCAGAACCGGAAGCUACCGGAGUAUAGAACUCGCCACCGUCGCAGAAGCGGAAGCUAGCGGAGUAUAGAACUCACCACCGUCGCAGGACCGGAACUUCAUACGCAACCGGAUGAAACCCCUAAAACCGAAUCAAUUUUCCCGCCGUCAGCUUCCCAUCAUGUUCGAAUUCUUGAAAAAUCUGGUAACUCGAUGGUACUGUAAGAUUUUCUUAUCCAUGUUUAAAAUAAUCAAAGAAAUCAUUCUUUAUUUUAAGAAAUUCAAUAAAUCUUUUCUUUCUUAAAAAAUCAAGAAUUUGUUUUCACUUCUUUAAGGAGAGAGGGGAUGAAUGCCCGAGACUAUUUCUGUCAAUGGGGUUUUCUUGGAUUAUUGCACAAGUGUUGUUGACUAGUUCUUAUAAAACAGACUUGAAUUUCUGUCAGGGGUUCCUGAAUAAUUUAACCUGGGUUAUUGAUGAGUUGCUUUAAAACAGACUCAAAUUUCUGUAUGGGUUUUCUUGAAUGAUUUUAAAAAAGAUGUACUAAUUUACCCCUUCAAAGGUAUUGAAUGGAAAGUUGUGGAGUUGUUCUUGAAGCCCCAUUCGCACAAUUCUAGUUUAAUUAUAAGAAGUUAAGUAUUUUUGAAUGAAGACACUCAAUUAGGCAAACUUCCGUAAAUGUCCUCAGUGACCAAUUUCCUUUACAUGGUCUAUAGUAUAGACCUUUUGACUUCGAUUGUUUCUUCAAAAUGGAAAAUUGUGCCAGGUAAGAGAAUGGUGAAUUAUAUGGUUCGUGUUUUCUGAUUUUGUUAAUGUUUUGAGGAUCUGUAGAGGUGGGCUGCUGCUAAGAACAUCAUAGUUAUGUGAGUAACGAUGAAAGUUGUGCUUUCAUGCAGUUUUAAUCUUUUACACUAUAGUUGCACCUGCAAAUUUGUGUGUUGCUUGCAAAAUAGGCAGUGACCAGAGAGGAGGCUCUUCAUUGAAUUCUUAUGUUACUUCCUUUGCUACUUUGCACGAUGAGAGCAUAUGUUUUAUAUGAAAAUUGAUAUUCUCAGAUGCUCCUUUUCGGUGUAUCAUAAUUUUCUUUAUACACAACCCUUAGUUCUUUUUUCAAUGAGAUUUACUUCCUUAGAGGACUGUCCUUUCUAUUUUCUUAUGCUUAUAACUUGUGUACUCUUAGUUUGAACUUUAACCCAGUGUCAACUUUCCACCCGGUGUACCUGCUAUAUAUAGAUGGAUGACAAUGGUAAGUUUAGUUUCUUUGACAUCGAUUUAAUGCAUUUUGAUGUGCAGAAAGUUCUACUCAAUUUGUAUUUUACUUUAUCACUUCUUUUGAACGAUCUGGUGUCUCAUGCUGAUGGGAGAAAGAUAUGGUAACAUUUUUGGAAAAUGUUAGACUCACAUCAUCUCUUUUUUUUAAUGAUGCUGCUGUACAUAAUUUAUUUUGCGUGACAACUAUGAUGUUCAUAACUUGGAAUGGUUGUUUAGUCUAUAGGAUUACAUGCAUUACCAACUGAUAGGCCGGUUGAUGGUUUGUGUACAUUAAUAUCUUUUUACAGAUGUUCUUUAUUUAUUGUUUUGUGGUUUUACUUGUAAUUGGGAGAACUGGAAUGGCUGUACACAACACAAAAUAUUGAUGCUUACAUUUUGUUUCUGCUUUUAUUUUAAGAUCUUCAUGUCCAUCACUUUCCUGGUGCUCAAUUUGACCUAUUAAAUAUGCUAAAACUGUUGAUGUUUGGUAGUAUUGUAGGGACUCAAGAAAUUUCGAGGAUACUAUUUUAUGCAUCCUUCGUUUCAAAAGUAUCAACUUACCUCCUUCAGUUAAGAGUUACUGAGUUGAUAUCUUUUCUCUUCUUUGAAGUAAUAAAAGAGAGAGAUAUAUUAAUGACAUGGAUCCUAGAGGAACUUGCUUCAUUUGAACACUUCUUUUUGAGAAUUAAAAAUACUGCUUCAUUUGAAUACUUUAAAGCUUCUUUAACGUUAUAACAGACAACAGUUCUAAUAAAUACAAGAAAUUAUUAAUUAGAAUGGGACGAUUAAGGAAAAGCGAGAAUAGGCUUUGACGAAGUGACAAAAUUUUCAUAUUUUUCUUUAAUGAGUUGAGGAAGUGGGAGCACAUGUAAACAUAAGAUGACGUUUAGUUCUUCUUAGUUUUCGACUGCAGACCAUGACUAGAUCAAACUUUAGAGCUGUUGCACUUUUUAGGAUUACUGGAUUUUGUUUCACUGAUUACUUUGUCUGAUAAUGUAGACUCUUUGCUAUGAACUGGAUUAGGAUGAUAAUGACUUCAAUGCCAUGUUAUUUAAUUGUUAGAAGUGCUGGUCAUCACCAGCUCAUAAUUUCUACUUUGUGUACCAUAUGUAGGUUAAGAGAGGAGUGAUUUGAGUUAUUAUCUGAAAGAAGCAAAAUAAAAAGAGGUGUGUGUGUGUGUGUGGGGGGGGGGGGGUUCUUGUUUGUCUAUUAGAACAUGUCACUUGUUCAUUUUUGUUCCAUGUUAGAUGUGCAAUCCAAUUGCCAGAAUAUGUGCAACAUUUAUAUCCCUAGUUGGCACCAUUGAUACUGCUUCUGUUAAUCUGAUAAAGCUAUUUUGAUGUGCUUUAUCGGUGAGAGCAAUUCACUCGACAUUUUUAUUCAACUCUUAGGAUUCAUUGUAUAUGACGUUAUUUGUACAUGUGGCUUUGUUGAAGUAUCCUUCUCAUCUAUUGCUAUCCCAUUCCCUGCACCAUUUUUCAGAUAUAUUAUACCUGUGAAUUAUGAUAUCAGGAAAAAGAGGUGCAGGAUCCAGAGUUACAAAGCGACACUUGAACUUCUUUCCUGCAGCCAAGAAAUUGAUUGGAGAAUGCACUGUCAGGAGUGCAAUUCGAUCUUCACAGAUUAUUCUGUGGGGAAGUGCUUCUGCAAAGCAUGAUCCUGAGUCCAGAUUCCUCUGUCAGAUCAAAAAUUCAAGUCAGUCAAUACUCAAAUGAUUGCUCUCUUGCUCCAUUGCACAAUCGGUGUGAAUUGGAAAUCCAGAAACUCUGCACACCCCUUUCAUCUAAUGUUUUACCUACGGAGGAUGGUUUCCUGGAUAACGAAUUCAGUGUUUCAGCUAGCUCCAGUUACAAAUCAGACUGCCUAUUAGUUCUAUGACUUCCUUUUCUCUUGAGCUACUUUUGGAAAGCCUAGAUAAGAAUAUAGUUGUUGAAGUAUCCUCCUCAUCUGUUGCUAUCCCAUUCCCUGCUCCACUUUUCAGAUAUACCUGUGAAUUAUGAGAUCAGGAAAAAGAGGUGCAGGACCCAGAGUUGCAAAGUGACACUUGAACUUCGUUCCUGCAGCCAAAGAAAUUGACCGGAGAGUGCACUGUCAGGAGUUAGAUUCGAUCUUCACGGAUUAUUCUGUGGGGAAGUACUUCUGAAAAGCAAGAUCCUGAGUCCAGAUUCCUCUGUCAGAUCAAAAGUACUUCACGGAUUGUUUCCACAUGCUGCAAAAAGAGAUCUCGAUUUUAUGCUUGUUCUAAAGAGGAUAUGAGUAUUAUAGGGGAAGUUGAUGCUUGGGAUGUUUAUAGUUCAGGUCCUUCUGCAUUCUAUUAUGAUGGAGAUGAUUUGUCACAUAUACAUUCUCAUGGUGAAGAAAACCUUAAAAAUUAUUUGACACUCGAGCUAUGCUCUUCUCUAGGGUGGAUGGGAACUCGGGUAAAUGGAUUGAUGCUGGAAAUCGAGGUAAAACAGAUGAGCUUAUAAGGAAGAAGAUCGGAAUAAGUCAUUCAGGUCAUUCAUUUUACAAAAGCAUGAAGUUCUUUGCCACAAAUGAGUCUUCAAGAAUGGCAGCAGUAAAUAACAAAUAUUAUGACUGUUCAUGAUGCGCCGCUCACGCCAGGUAAGGAGACUGCAGCAGUCUGCAGAGGCUAUCUGCUCGGAGCUUCCACAUCAAUAUAAUCAAUCUUCCACCCCAAGUCGUGGUGAUGGUGUAUUCUAUGAUGAAAGUUAGGCCAAGUGUGAAAAUGAAACUAGUUAACAUCUGGAACAACAAAUUACAAUCUCAAGGAGAGUGUACAAGUACACACGAUGAGGAGUCAAUAGAAGGUGCAAUUAUGCUUGGAGAUGCGUUGUUACCUUCAACAUGUUCUUUCAUUGUUGAGGAGUUAAGGCAGACUUCAUGUUUUAAGUUAGUGGAAAAUUGCAUUUCAGGAAAUAUCUGGUUUGGAACUUCAUUUGAUGAUUGCUAAGUUAGGUUCAUUGAGUAGGGGUUCCUCCAAGGCAUGGCAUGAAUAGCAUCGUCAUGAAAUCAACCUAGAGCGUUUUGCAGAACAACUAAGAUCAUCCGUAUCCUAAUGUCUAAAAGCUCUUGUGUGAGUAUACAUAAAUUUGUUUCUUCUUUCUGCCUACCAAACAAUAAUUUUGCACUGCAGAUAUCUAUUUUGCGAUCAUCAUAUUGAAGGAGAAUCUGAUCUGGAGCACAAUGCAUCUAAACAGAUUCAACAAAUAAAUGCAUGCAUUAAUUCAAUUGAUGUGGACCUGUAAGAAUUUCUUCAACAGGUUAGUCCAUUGACACUCACAAGCUCUCAUAUUUCACUCCUUUAUUUAAUUAGUCUUUCUUGCUUAAACGUUGUGUCAUGUUCUUUGAAUUAACUCCAACAUUACCUCCUUCCCCAAUUAAUGCCUUCCUUUAGUUUAUUCUACACCUCUUUUUUUUUUUUGAUGAUCAUACAUCAACAAGAACCGAAGAAGCCGAAGGCUCCCAAUGAGAUUCGGUAAGAUGCUGCUUUUAUACCUUUUUGCCCUUCAAACUUCAUCUUUAGACAAACUUUUGUUAUUCAUUACUUGUAUUUGUUUUCCAUUUCAAUUUCCCCUUACAUCAUCAACUAUUUCAAAGAUGAAGACAAAUGUGUAGUUGUUUGUACUUCACGCCACUCUAUGAAAUUAUUUCUAUGUGGAAUCUGUUUGUCGCCAAGUUAAGGUAAACAACUUAGGUGACAUUUAUUUACAACUUUGAAGAGUUCGACUAUUUGGUUAUUCUGAAAAGGUGAUUGGUACAUUACUUUUCUAUUUUCUAAUUCUGAUAACGUAAUUGGAAGUUCCUACUAAUGUUCAGACCAAAAAUAUUACUUAAUUCAUUCAAAUUGAAGUAAUACUUACAAAAUGUAUGUAUAAAGAUAAAACAGAUGAACAAGGUUAUUGUCGAUGAUAUUGACAGUUGAUAUGUAUGUUUCUUUUGUUUAAAUUCAAUUUUUUUUAGAAAUUUUUAAGCUUGGAUGCUAUUAAAAGCUAACAGUUACUAUGCUUUUCAUUGGGAGCUAAAAGGAUUUGGUAGUUUCUUUCUAGAAAAAGAAAAAAGAAACAUCGAUGGUCUUACCUUUCGUAGUUUUUUUAGAUAAAUAUUAGUGUUUUUUAGUGAUGAAUGUUGAGGUUCAAGAAAUAAUGUUGUUCCUUCUAUGUUUAUUCCAUAUUUAAAUCACUAUAUUGCAUUCAUAAUCAUUAUAUUCUUCUUUGUUGAAAUGAAUUUACCUUCCAUCAUGAAUUCAUGUAUUAUACUAAUUGGCCAAAUUUUUCAUUAGUUUCACUUUUUUUUACAAAAAAAACCGCAUCCACACAUAAGCCACUCACAAAUACAAACUAUUCUUUGUUCUUGAAGAAAAAAAGAAAUUCAUAGAUCAUUUAACUACAAGAUAUAGAAUGGCAACACAUAUUAGCAUUUUAUAAUUGAUCAUAAUAUCAUUUUAUAAUUGAUCAUAAUAUUUCAAAGCUACUAUAUAUUUAGAAUAACUUAUAUUGCCAAAAUAUUCAAAACAAAAGUACUAUUUAUCCUAAUAAAUAUAAGCAAUGACAACAUAAACAAUAACAAGGGAGUGAACCAAAUACUAAUUAUCACGAUUCAAGACAAUCUUGAAAAAAGUAAAAAACAUUUAAUAUAAUGCCAAAAAUGGAAUUAACUUUCUUUUUUUGGUCAAAGAGGAAAAAAUUAAUCUUCCAGAGCCACUUGCCGCCGCAAUAGCCAUCUUCCUGGCUAUAUUCCCUUGUAAAGUGUCCUUCUUGUCCGCAUUUGUAGCAUCCCGCUCCUCCUCCACCGCCUCCUUGGCUACAUUCCCUUGUGAAAGAAGGAAGGGGCUGCUACAAAUGUGGGGAAGAAGGGCAUUUUGGAAGGGAUUGUAGGCAGAGAGAUGGCUAUGGGAGGGGCGGAGGUGGCUCUAUAUCAUUUGAUUAUUCGCAUUCUAUUACAUGUUUUUACUUUUUUCAAGAUUGUCAAGAAUCAUGAUAAUUAAUAUUUGGAUCACUCUCUUGUUAUUUUUUAUAUUUAUUAAAAUAAAUAGUACUUUUGUUAUAAAUAUUUUUGCAAUGUGACUUACUCUAAAUGUAUGCUGCAUGCUUUGAAAUAUUAUGAUCAAUUAUGAAGUGUUAAUGUGUGUUGUCAUUCCAUCUUUCUGUUCUAGAUGCAUCAAAAAUGAUUUUGAGAUAUUUUUCUUAAUUCCUUUGUCUUUGUUUUCAUUUGUGUUGGAACAAUGACCCUGAUAUGGAUAGAGUGGAAAAGAUUCAAAGGAAUGAGGAUAAAUAUAACACAGCUACUAAUUUUGGGGAGCAGCAUAAUUGAUGGAUUGAUUGGUGAUGUUACCAUUCUAUUUAUUUAUUGUUUAUUUUCGUAGUUGCAAUUAUGCUUGGAGAUGCGUUGUUACCUUCAGCAUGUUUUUUCAUUGUUGAGGAGUUGAGGCAGACUUCAUUAUGUUUAAAAUGAGUGGAAAAUUGCAUUUCAGGAAAUAUCUUGUUUGGAACUUCAUUUGUUGGUAUGCUUAAGAGAGGAAUUCCAUAUUAUUAAUGACUGCAGUAUAUUUUCCUUUGUUUGUGUGCUUAACAGGAGACCAACUACUGUUUCUCUUGUCAACUUGGGUGCUCUGCUUGAGCAGAUUGCUAAGUUAGGUUCAUUGAGUAGGGGUUCCUCCAAGGCAUGGCAUGAAUAGCAUCGUCAUGAAAUCAACCUAAAGCGUUUUGCAGAACGACUAAGAUCAUCCGUAUCCUAGUGUCUAAAAACUCUCGUGUGAGUAUACAUAAAUUUAUUUCUUCUUUCUACCUACCAAACAAUAAUUUGGCACUGCAGAUAUCUAUUUUGCGAUCAUCAUAUUGAAGGAGAAUCUGAUCUGGAGCACAAUGCAUCUAAACAGAUUCAACAAAUAAAUGCAUGUGGUUCCGUGUAUUUUGGGAGUUAGUCCAACUUAUGUGGACCUGUAAGAAUUUCUUCGACAUGUAAGUCCAUUGACACUCACAAGCUCUCAUAUUUCACUCCUUGGUUUAAUUUGUCUUUCUUGCUUAAAUGUUGUGUCAUAUUCUUUGAAUUAACUCCCCCGGUUUAACAUUAUCUCCUUCCCUAAUUAAUGCCUUACUUUAGUUUAUUCUACCCCUCUCAUUUUUAUUUUUUUUGAUUAUACAUCAACAAGAACCGGAGGGGAUGAAACCGAAGGCUCCCAAUGAGAUUCGGUAAGAUGCUGCUUUUAUACCUUUUUGCCCUUCAAACGUCAUCUUUAGACAAACUUUUGUUAUUCAUUACUUGUAUUUGUUUUCCAUUUCAAUUUCCCCUUACAUCAUCAACUAUUUCAAAGAUGAAGACACACGUGUAGUUGUUUGUACUUCACGCCACUCUAUGAAAUUAUUUCUAUGUGGAAUCUGUUUGUCACCAAGUUAAGGUAAACUACUUAGGUGACAUUUGUUUACAACUUUGAAAACAGACUUUUCUAACUUAGAGUUCGACUAUUUGGUUAUUCUGAAAAGGUGAUUGGUAAUUUUCUAAUUCUGAUAACGUAAUUGGAAGUUCCUACUAAUGUUCAGACCAAAAAUAUAACUUCAUUCAUUCAAAUUAAAGUAAUACUUACAAAAUGUAUGUAUAAAGAUAAAACAGAUGAACAAGGUGAUUUUCGAUGAUAUUGACAGUUGAUAUAUGUAUGUUUCUUUUGUUUAUAAAAUUAGAAGUUUUUAAGCUUGGAUGCUAUUAAAAGCUAACAGUUACUAUGCUUUUUAUUUGGAGCUAAAAGGAUUUGGUAGUUUCUUUCUAGAAAAAGAAAAAAGAAACAAUCAUGGUCUUACCUUUCUCAGUUUUUUAGAUAAAUAUUAGUUUUUUUUAGUGAUGAAUGUUGAGGUUCAAGAAAUAAUGUUGUUCCUUCUAUGUUUAUUCCAUAUUUAAAUCACUAUAUUGCAUUCAUAAUCAUUAUAUUCUUCUCUGUUGAAAUGAAUCUACCUUCCCUCAUGAAUUCAUUUAUUAUACUAAUUGGCCAAAUUUUCCAUUAGUUUCACUUUUUUACAAAAAUACCGCAUCCCCACAUAAGCCACUCACAAAUACAAACUAUUCUUUGUUCUUGGAUAAAAAAGAAAUUCAUAGAUCAUUUAACUACAAGAUAUGGAAUGGCAACACACAUUAACAUUUUAUAAUUGAUCAUAAUAUUUCAAAGCUACUAUAGAUUUAGAGUAACUCAUAUUGCCAAGAUAUUCAAAACAAAAGUACUACUUAUCCUAAUAAAUAUAAGCAAUGACAACAUAAACAAUAACAAGGGAGUGAACCAAAUACUAAUUAUCACGAUUCAAGACAAUCUUGAAAAAAGUAAAAAACAAUUAAUAUAAUGCCAAAAAUGGAAUUAACUUUCUUUUUUUGGUCAAAGAGGAAAAAGUUAAUCUUUCAGAGCCACCUGCCGCCGCAAUAGCCAUCUUCCUGGCUAUAUUCCCUUGUAAAGUGUCCCUCUUCGCCGCAUUUGUAGCAUCCCGCUAUUCCUCCACCGCCUCCCUGGCUACAUUCCCUUGCGAAAGAAGGAGGGGGCUGCUACAAAUGUGGGGAAGAAGGGCAUUUUGGAAGGGAUUGUAGGCAGAGAGAUGGCUAUGGGAGGGGCGGAGGUGGCUCUGGAGAUUAAUAUUUCUUCUUUGACCAAAAAAAGAAAAUUAAUUUGAUUUUUCGCAUUGUAUUAAAUGUUUUUACUUUUUUCAAGAUUGUCAAGAAUCAUGACAAUUAAUAUUUGGAUCACUCUCUUGUUAUUUCUCUUAUUUAUUAAAAUAAAUAGUACUUUUCUUAUAAAUAUUUUUGCAAUGUGACUUACUCUAAAUGUAUGUUGCAUGCUUUGAAAUGUUAUAAUCAAUUAUGAAGUGUUAAUGUGUGUUGUCAUUCCAUCUUUAUGUUCUAGAUGCAAGGUAUCUUGUAGUUAAAUGAUAUAUGAAUUUCUUUUUUUUCUUCAACAAGAAAGAAGAGUAUGUAUUUGAGAGUGGUUUAUGCGGGGAUGUUUUUUUUUUUUUUUAUAACUUAAAGUGAAAUGGAUGAAGUUGGUUGACAUAGCAUGCCCUCUAUGGAAUCCUCAGCAUUCUCUAACAUCCAAUGGAAGGAGCGGAAACCACACUGGAUCAUGAAUCAGGUGCUGGAAUACUUUCUGAUUUACUGCCAUCUGUAGCUAUUUUAGUAGCUUAGUAUAGCGAUUCCAUACAUUGGUUUUUUUUACGGAGUUUACAUUGCAAUAACAUUUCUUUUCAUAAAUGUACUACUGUUAAUUGCAAAAAGAUGUAAUCUCACUUAUUCCUGAAUAGAGAUCUGUAUCAUGUAUCAAUUAUAGUACUCACAUACUCUGUUCCUCUAGCUUAUCUCUUUAUUAUAGAAGCAAAUCUUUGGUUGGUAUUUCGUGUACACAUGCUUGGAUUAGUUUCUAUGUGGAAAUAGUUGCUUGAAAAUCUAAAUAAAAUGAAAAGACACUUCUAUUAUCUGGUAACUUAUAGUUAUCCCCCUUUCAGUAGUUAGUAGUAAAGAUUUCUAACUCACAAGUCACGGGGUUUGAUUUUCUUCAAAAGUGAGUUUUAAAACAGACUCGAUGCUGGUGCCACCAAGAUGUACUAAUUUACCCUUUCACAGGUAUUGAGUGGAAAGUUGCGGAGUUGUUCUUGAAGCCCCACUCGCACAAUUCUCGUUUAAUUAUAAGAAGUUAAGUAUUUUUGAAUGAAGACACUCAAUUGGGCAAACAUCCGUAAAUUCCCUCAGUGACCUUUCUGGCUUUUAUUGUUUCUUAAAAAUGGAAAAUUGUGCCAGGUAAGAGAUAGGGGAAUUGUAUGGUUCGUGUUUUCCGAUUCUGUUAACGUCUUGAGGAUCUGUUGAGGUGGUCUGCUGCUAAGAACAUCAUAGUUAUGUGAGUAACGAUGGAAUGUCGUGCUUUCAUGCAGUUUUAAUCCUUUACACUAUAGUUGCACCUGCAAAUUUGUGUGUUGCUUGCAAAACAAGCAGUGACCUCCCAAUUGGGCAGUGACCAGGGAGGAGGUUCUUCAUUGAAUUCUUAUAUUACUUUCUUUGCUACUUCGUAUGAUGAGAGCAUAUGUUUUAUAUGAAAAUUGAUACUAUUUUUUCUCAGAUGCUCCUUUUUAGUAUCAUAAUUUUCUUUAUACACAACCCUUAGUUCUUUUUAAAAUGAGAUUUACUUCCUUAUAGGACUGUCCUUUUUAUUUUCUUAUACUUGUGUACUCCUAGUUUGAACUUUAACCCAGUUUCCACUUUCCACCCGGUGUACCUGCUAUAUAUAGAUGGAUGACAAUGGUAAGUUUUAGUUUCUUUGACAUGGAUUUAAUGCAUUUUGAUGUGCAGAUAGUUCUACUCCGUUUGUAUUUUGCUUCAUUACUUCUUUUGAACGAUCUGGUGUCUCAUGAGAUGGAGUGGUGCUGAUGGGAGAAAGAUAUGGAAACAUUUUUGCAAAAUGUUGGACUCACCAUCUAUUUUUUUUUAAUGAUGCUGCUGUUCAUAAUUUCUUUUGCCCGACAACUAUGAUGUUCAUAACUUGGAAUGGUUGUUUAGUCUAAAGAUUGCAUGCACUACUCAACUGAUAGGCUGGUUGACGGUUUGUGUACAUUAAUAUCUUUUUUGGAUGUUCUUUAUUUAUUGUUUUGUGGUUUUUCUUGUAAUUGGUUGAACUGGUAUGGCUGUACACAACACAAAAUACUGAUGCUUACAUUUUGUUUCUGCUUUUAUUGUAAGAUCUUCAUGUACAUCACUUUCCUGGUGCUUCAUUUGCAAUAAAAUGCUUUCUUUACCUGUACCGCUUCCCCAAGAGGGGUUUUGGUUGUUGAAGGGGGGGGGGGGAGAUGAUUUUUUUUUUUCUGUUGUUGAUCACUACUGUUAGAUGAUUUGAUUAUUAACUCUAGCUGAAGUUGACCUGGAACAUACAUAUUGGUACUUAAACUUAAGUACUUUAACUAUGGUUUCAUAUGCUUGCUUUAUACCUGCGAAAUCAAAAUACAGCCAUUCCGAUGAUAUGUGUACUUUCCCAAAUCCCAGCAAGCUUUGGCUUUAAAAGGAGAGCCUUUGAGCUCUACUUCUAGAGUUCCUUCGUGGGAAAUUAUUACUAAAACUCAUGGGAGCCAGUAUUGGAAAGGUUUUGAAGGAUGACAAGUGUUUGUACCUUGGAAUUGAUGAUUUCAGACAAGAUGUUGGUACAACAGGUAAUUUCUAGGGAUUUUUCUUUUUUGCAGUCAUUGUUCAGUGAUGUAUUUUACCACCAACCAGUUCAAAGGAAGCAAUUGCACUCCAAGUACUUCUAGCUUUUCAAACUUAAAACAAGAAAAAGAAAAUUGAUUUAUGUACUUUACUAAAGCUGUUCUGUGAUCUGAUUGCUCUUUUGGUUUGCUAUACAAUCUGGAAGGCCAAAGAGGGUCUUGCAUUCUCUGAAAUUGUCUUUUUUAAGAAUCGACCUUAUGCAUCCCAGUGUCUCCUUCAAAUUUGUUGAUAUUGAAAGGUCAUCUUUGAUACACCAGUAACUUAAGGAUAUUUCCUGUCUAGUUUUUCCGAUCUUGUUCAUUUGCAUGCAGUAAGGUUUGAGCUUCUUCUUAGACCGUUAACAAAUUGAGUGCAAGUGAUGGUUAAUUCAAGCUUUCAGGAUACCUCUCAGGUCCUGAUGUUUAUACAGUGCAAGUAUACAAGCAUAGAUAAAGUGAUGUGAUAAGUUAUCUUCUGUUCUCUUUGUUUCUUUGACAACCAUGGUUUAAUUGUCUGGUACUUAGGUUUUUCUGCAUCCACUUAUUUCAGUAUAUUGUCUUGACAAAAGAAACAGAAAACUAAUUCUUGGUUUAACUUUUACUUUAUCGAAUGCUUGUUUUUUACAGUGUAUUUGUUUUCCUUGACCUUCUUAUUGCUGAUAUCAAUUCAAGAUUUUUUUCCCAAGGACCAAUACAUAAAUUACUCAGAGCAUGUUUGGAUUGACUUGUUUUAAGUGCUUUUAAGUACUUUUGGAGUAUUUGGAGAAUUUCAGAAAGGGCUUAUAAGCACUUAAUUUUAAGCUAAAAUGUUAAAAUAAGCCAAAAGUCAUCAGUUAGAAUUUCUAACUUAUGGCUUUUGGCUUCGAAGUUAAAAGUCAAAAGACAAUUCAAACUGGCUCUUAAUAACACCAACGAUGAGUUUCGACAGUACUUCUGAAAUAGAGCAGCUAUGUAGAUAUUGAUAUAUCCACUGUUUUUGAUGUACCUAAACUGCCCAAGAUCUUUAUAUGUUUAGACGUAGGCAUUUAGGAUUUAAUUUUUUUUGUAGGGUUUUAGUGUGCAGGUCAACUAGUACUACUUAUCCGUGAAUCGCUCAUCUUUAUUGUUCAAACCUUACAACAGUUGAAAAGUUGCAGGAGUCAAACUGUUAUGAUCCUAACAAUGUUCCUGCAAAUGCUAUAGUAAAUAUUAUCAUGAAGUGCUCUUGUGGGGAUAGUCAUGUUUCAAAAGAUUAUGGACAAUUUAUAACUUUUCCUCUUUGCACUGACCAGAAUUUGGUUACAUAGCCAAUGAACUUAAUCUACCACAGAAGUUGUCGGAAGACUAUCCUGAAGCAAAUUUCAGCAGGGGAAGUGGUCUGGCUUCUAUACUCAUAUUCUUUGCAUAUUUUAAGUACAAUUAGUCAAGUUCGGAUUAGGAUUAACAGAAUGGUAUGCAGAACCAUUAAAAGGAAACCUGCUCGUUGUAUAUUAUCGGGAAGGAAUAACUUUGCAUACUACAAUCAUAGUUAAUUUUCGGAUGAUUUGACAUUAUGUCAAAGCUGAGAAUUGUCACUUGGAUAUCCGGUACUAUAUAUGCCAAGUGUUAGCUGAUAUAGUUUUCUUUUAGAUCUCUGUUUCUGAAAUUUAUUGCAGAUCAAAAUGGAACUUAUCCACUAUUAAAAACUUCUAUAAGGUAUUCCCCAACCCCAGUGAGCUCCUAAUCAUGCGUAUAUUGGUAGCUAAUUGUUGUUUCUUGCUUUUCACAGCUCAAAAGGUUGGUCUUUACUACUAUAAUGGCACUGUUUUCAACUUAUCAAGUCUGAGGUAUCAAAAUAGCUCUGAAUGUGAUUGUAAUCUACUAAACACAUUGUGUUAUUGACUGGAAUCCCAGGUGGGGCAAUAGCUGGCAUACGGGUUGUAGCAGUUCUUGUGGUAGUCCUUUUAGUGUCUUGCAUGUAUCUUACCUUUUAUAGAGGCAGGAAAACGGAAGGAAAUUGUCUCUUAACUUGCAAUGUUACAAACACAAUACUAAUAAGAGCAUGUUCCUGGUAAUUUUAUUGAUUUCAUUCUUACUGAUGUAUGCUUAAUUACCCGUCAAGCUCUAUGGUGGAGAUUCCUGUUUCUCAUUUCUCUUGCCUUGGGAAUGAGGAAUCAUCAUCAUCUUCAUCAUAAUGACUUGUUAGAGGUAUUAUUCUUUUUUCCAUUUGUUAAAAAAAAUAUAAGCUUCCUACGAUCGAUCCUGGAAUGAUAAAAGUAUGUCAACUGUUCUGUGAAAGUAAUGUGUUUGGUUCAUCCUUAGAAUAAACCUUUUAAUAUCUUUAAAUGACUCGGGUCAAGCAAAUUUCGAGAAUUCUUCAGAAGGGGGACCUCUUAAUAACGGUGCUUCUUCAGAGGUCCCGAGGUUUGCUGUGGAUAAAUCUGUUGAAUUUUCAUAUGAUGAACUCGCUAAUGCCAUUGACAACUUCAGCACAUCCUACAAGAUUGGCCGAGGUGGUUUUGCAUCUGUUUACUAUGGAGAGUUACGAGGCGAGAAAGAUGGUAUCAAGAAGAUGGAUAUGCAAUCAACAAAAGAAUUCCUUGCUGAAUUGAAGGUUUUGGCACAUGUUCAUCACUUGAACUUGGUAAAUUCGUUAAUCAUACUGGGUAUGAGCCUGGAUUUUUGUUGUAGUUGUCACUCUUCUUUUCCGAGACUUCUUGGAGAUUUGUGAGGUACGUUUAAUAGGAUAUUGCAUUGAAGGAUCCUUGUUCUUACUUCUUAGUAUAUGGGUUCAUUGAAAAUGGAAACCUAAGCCACCAUUUGCGCCAUUUUAAGUAUGGUUUCGUAUGCUUGCUUUUACACCAGCGACAUCAAAAUACAGCCAUUAAGAUGAUAUGCAUGCUUUCUCAAGUCUCAACAAGCUUUGGCUAAAGGAGAGGGCACAGAGCUCUAUUUUCUGAUGUUUCUUUGUUGGAAAUUGUUACUAAAAGCCCUAAUGAAUAUCAUAAGGUUUUGAAUGUAAAGUUCUUUUGAGUUUUAGUUGGUAGUAUCCAUUAGGAUAGGUAUGAAACUACUGACUUGGUCUUGGUCGUUGUCAUUGUUUACAAGACGACAAAGUGUUUGUACCUUGAAAUUGCUGAUUGUAGACCAGAUGUUGGUACAACAGGUAAUUCUGUGCCAACCUCCUACCUGAUACAUGAGUUGACUUCUGUUUGCUAAUAAGGAAUUCUUGGGAUUUUUCUCUUUGCUAU
Solanum lycopersicum (tomato) is the source of this 14667-nucleotide non-coding RNA. Lineage: Eukaryota; Viridiplantae; Streptophyta; Magnoliopsida; Solanales; Solanaceae. The record is from RefSeq and is a predicted model, not a curated record.